Non-coding RNA from Phacochoerus africanus (Common warthog), 72 nucleotides. Lineage: Eukaryota; Metazoa; Chordata; Mammalia; Artiodactyla; Suidae. The record is from the annotation of a RefSeq genome assembly.
UCCCUGGUGGUCUAGUGGUUAGGACUUGGCACUGUCACUGCUAUGGCCCAGGUUCAACCCCUGGUUGGGGAA